CAUCUGGUCAGGAUGCCUCCUGGACGCCUCCCUGGUGAGGUGUCCUGGCCACCUCCCACCGGGAGAAGGCCCAGGUGAAGACACAGGACACGCUGGAGGGACUAUGUCGCUUGGCUGGCCUGGGAACGCCUUGGGAUUCCCCCGGAGGAGCUGGCCCAAGUGGCUGGGGAGAGGGGCGUCUGGGCCUCCCUACUGAAGCUGCUACCCCCGUGACCCGAGAGUACGAAUGGGAUACGGACCCAUUCAUAGAGGCCCCACGGGUUGAUAAAGGCAGUCAGGUGGCGUGAACCCUCAGCAAUGAAGCCCUUAUGGUAAGCCUUUUCGCUGGUCAAAGAUUCUGAACCAGGUGUAACCCCCCAGUGUGUCUAUCAGGUCUUGUAUUUUGGGUAGCGGAUGUCGAUCAGGCACAGUCUUUUUGUUCAGGAGGCGAUAAUCAACACAAAGACGUAGGCUGCCAUCUUUCUUUCGAACACAGACAACUGGGGCAGCAUAUGGGAACUUGGAUUUAACAAUCCAGCCUCUCAUCAGCAGCUCAUGCACGUACUCCUUAACCUCUUUCAACAGUGGCUUCGGGACUGCUGAAUAUGCUUUCUGUACAGGGAUUUCAUCUGUGAGAGUGAUCGACAUUUGUAGACUUGGUGAAUGAGAUCGAUGGGAGGUUGCCAUGACGAUGGACGGGUGUCAACCGGUGUGGAUACAGCACUGUUAACAGUCACUGUGGACUUGUGUGCUUGAGGCACCCGCACUGCACAGAGGGUUCGCUGGCUUGGAUGAAGCUCACAAGUAGCUCUGCCUUCUCUGCUGGGACACACAAGGCAUUACAGAGUAGGACGACAAGGGUGAAAUCAGCUUUUCCGGUUGUUCUUGUAUCAUCUCCUCCAGCACGUUGAAACCCAACAGUGGUCUCUCCAGAGCAAGACUGCUGACAAGAAAAGGUACAGUAAUUGACAGAUUAGGGUCCUCAUUCCCCAUCAAAUUGACUGUCAGGGCAAGCCAGCCAUCAAACGGGAGGACGUCACCGUUCACUGCAUACACCCUUAACUUCUCUUCGUCACCAAUGUUGUCCCUGAGUGGCCUAACUGGGGUGUCAGGUAAAUAUUUACCCUUCCAGUCUCUAUCAAUCAUACUUACUUGAGCCCUGGUGUCUAGCAGAGCGCUGACGGCUUGUCCAUUUAGGUUCAAUUCAAUUCA
Molecule: long non-coding RNA, 1191 nt
Organism: Fundulus heteroclitus (mummichog)
Lineage: Eukaryota; Metazoa; Chordata; Actinopteri; Cyprinodontiformes; Fundulidae
Exons: 3
Source: RefSeq, a predicted model, not a curated record